Molecule: ribosomal RNA, 497 nt
Filed under: uncultured bacterium
Lineage: Bacteria
Description: partial 16S ribosomal RNA
Rfam family: Bacterial small subunit ribosomal RNA
Source: RNAcentral
GAUGAACGCUGGCGGCGUGCCUAAUACAUGCAAGUCGAGCGAACGGACGAGAAGCUUGCUUCUCUGAUGUUAGCGGCGGACGGGUGAGUAACACGUGGAUAACCUACCUAUAAGACUGGGAUAACUUCGGGAAACCGGAGCUAAUACCGGAUAAUAUUUUGAACCGCAUGGUUCAAAAGUGAAAGACGGUCUUGCUGUCACUUAUAGAUGGAUCCGUGCUGCAUUAGCUAGUUGGUAAGGUAACGGCUUACCAAGGCAACGAUGCAUAGCCGACCUGAGAGGGUGAUCGGCCACACUGGAACUGAGACACGGUCCAGACUCCUACGGGAGGCAGCAGUAGGGAAUCUUCCGCAAUGGGCGAAAGCCUGACGGCGCAACGCCGCGUGAGUGAUGAAGGUCUUCGGAUCGUAAAACUCUGUUAUUAGGGAAGAACAUAUGUGUAAGUAACUGUGCACAUCUUGACGGUACCUAAUCAGAAAGCCACGGCUAACUACGUG